Long non-coding RNA from Triticum aestivum (bread wheat), 725 nucleotides. RefSeq lists it as uncharacterized. The record is from RefSeq and is a predicted model, not a curated record. NCBI's taxonomy places the organism in Eukaryota, Viridiplantae, Streptophyta, Magnoliopsida, Poales, Poaceae. The transcript has 2 exons.
CCUUCCCUCACCCUGUCACCACUCGUUCCCCUCAUCUUAUCUUCUUCCCCAUGUUGGUGGCCUACGGCGGCAUGGCGUCCAUGGCCUUCGGCCUGGGGUCAGCGACCAUGGAGGCCUCCGGGCCUCCAACGCGGGCGGCGCGGUGGCGCUCUCGCUUGUCGGCGACGACGAGCACCAGGCUGCCGAUUUCCAAGUCCACGCCGACCGGUCCCGCAGCCACGUCCGAGCUGCCGCUCGGCUCCAACCCUUGCAGUCGAUGCUUUUCGCCGCCGCACACUGUUUAUUUGUAUGCCAUGACUUCUUAGGAAGGACAAGCACACCCAGCGGCCAUCGAUACAUUAUAGUACUGUGCAAUAAAAUCUAGAACAUGUUCUGUGGAAACUCGCAGACACAUGAUAGAUCCAAGAGGGAAGCGCAUUCCUGAUCUCAAACUCGAAACAACAAAAGGCACCUAAAUCGGUGUCCUUUCUUCUAAGAGUAUCAGAGGUACAUAGGUACUCCCAGUGCAUGCGAGGGGGGCUUUAAUUAGUCCUGAUUGAGCUAUACCGUGGAUAACAGUUCAACGCUUCAAAGCAAAGAGAGGGGAUGUGGGAGAAGAAAAAGAAGAUCAUGAUUUGAUUCCUAAAGCUAAGAAGCUUAUAGAAGUUGCUCAUUAAAGACGCUCUUCUCAAAACGAUAAAUAAGUUUGAUAGAAAAGAAAAACAAUUUGACGAGUGAUAUUACCA